Molecule: ribosomal RNA, 441 nt
Filed under: uncultured bacterium
Lineage: Bacteria
Description: partial 16S ribosomal RNA
Rfam family: Bacterial small subunit ribosomal RNA
Source: RNAcentral
CCUACGGGGGGCAGCAGUCGAGAAUCAUUCACAAUGGGGGAAACCCUGACGCAGCAACGCCGCGUGAGUGAAGACGUAUCUCGGUAUGUAAAGCUCUAUCAGCGGGGAAGAAGGAAGACGGUACCCGACUAAGAAGCCCCGGCUAACUACGUGCCAGCAGCCGCGGUAAUACGUAGGGGGCAAGCGUUAUCCGGAUUUACUGGGUGUAAAGGGAGCGUAGACGGCGUCGCAAGUCUGAAGUGAAAGCCCGUGGCUCAACCGCGGAACCGCUUUGGAAACUGCGUGGCUGGAGUGCUGGAGAGGUAAGCGGAAUUCCUGGUGUAGCGGUGAAAUGCGUAGAUAUCAGGAGGAACACCGGUGGCGAAGGCGGCUUACUGGACAGUGACUGACGUUGAGGCUCGAAAGCGUGGGGAGCGAACAGGAUUAGAUACCCGAGUAGUC